UUGACAAAUAGGCAUACAGUAAGAUGUGGACUUGAGAUAGAGGCUGGGUUGGAUACUUUAUAUAAUCUUGAAUGUUGUAAUGAUUGACUGCUAAACAUUACAUUUAUGAUAUUCUGAUAUGCUUUCAAUAUGUUAUCAAAACAGUUUUUAACAGGUUCUAGGUAUUUUUUAUCAGAAAAUAUGCAAAUAGGGUAAGCUGGC
RNAcentral lists this long non-coding RNA (201 nucleotides) under Mytilus galloprovincialis (Mediterranean mussel). The record is from RNAcentral. Lineage: Eukaryota; Metazoa; Mollusca; Bivalvia; Mytilida; Mytilidae.